This 1394-nucleotide ribosomal RNA is filed under the name uncultured Lactobacillus sp. RNAcentral describes it as "bacterial SSU rRNA". It matches the Rfam family "Bacterial small subunit ribosomal RNA", at positions 11 to 1367 of the family's 1533-position model. The record is from RNAcentral. Lineage: Bacteria; Bacillati; Bacillota; Bacilli; Lactobacillales; Lactobacillaceae.
GUUUGAUCCUGGCUCAGGACGAGCGCUGGCGGCGUGCCUAAUACAUGCAAGUCGAGCGAGCCGAACUAAUUGAUUACCUUCGGGUAUGAAGUUAGGGAAGCGAGCGGCGGAUGGGUGAGUAACACGUGGGUAACCUACCCUAUAGUCUGGGAUACCACUUGGAAACAGGUGCUAAUACCGGAUAAAAGGAGAGAUCACAUGAUUUCUCUUUGAAAGGCGGCGUAAGCUGUCGCUAAAGGAUGGACCCGCGGUGCAUUAGCUAGUUGGUAAGGUAACGGCUUACCAAGGCAACGAUGCAUAGCCGAGUUGAGAGACUGAUCGGCCACAUUGGGACUGAGACACGGCCCAAACUCCUACGGGAGGCAGCAGUAGGGAAUCUUCCACAUGGAACGCCAAGUUCUGAUGGAAGCAACGCCGCGUGGAGGUGAAGAAGUUUUCGGAUCGUAAAGCUCUGUUGUUGGUGAAGAAAGAUAGUGAGAGUAACUGCUCAUUAUUUGCCGGUAAUCAACCAGAAAGUCACGGCUAACUACGUGCCAGCAGCCGCGGUAAUACGUAGGUGGCAAGCGUUGUCCGGGAUUUAUUGGGCGUAAAGCGAGCGCAGGCGGAAAGAUAAGUCAGAUGUGAAAGCCCUCGGCUUAACCGAGGAAUAGCAUCGGAAACUGUCUUUCUUGAGUGCAGAAGAGGAGAGUGGAACUCCAUGUGUAGCGGUGGAAUGCGUAGAUAUAUGGAAGAACACCAGUGGCGAAGGCGGCUCUCUGGUCUGUAACUGACGCUGAGGCUCGAAAGCAUGGGUAGCGAACAGGAUUAGAUACCCUGGUAGUCCAUUCUGUAAACGAUGAGUGCUAAGUGUUUGGGAGGUUUCCGCCCCUCAGUGCUGCAGCUAACGCAUUAAGCACUCCGCCUGGGGAGUACGACCGCAAGGUUAAAACUCAAAGGAAUUGACGGGGGCCCGCACAAGCGGUGGAGCAUGUGGUUUAAUUCGAAGCAACGCGAAGAACCUUACCAGGUCUUGACAUCUAGUGCCAACCUAAGAGAUUAGGCGUUCCCUUUCGGGGACACUAGACAGGUGGUGCAUGGCUGUCGUCAGCUCGUGUCGUGGAGAUGUUGGGUAGUCCCGCACGAGCGCAACCCUUAUUAUUAGUUGCCAGCAUUAAGUUGGGCACUCUAAUGAGAACUUGCCGGUGACAAACCGGAGGAAGGUGGGGAUGACGUCAAGUCAUCAUGCCCCUUAUGACCUGGGCUACACACGUGCUACAAUGGGCAGUACAACGAGGAGCGAACUUGUGAAGGCAAGCGAAUCUCUGAAAGCUGUUCUCAGUUCGGACUGUAGGCUGCAACUCGCCUACACGAAGCUGGAAUCGCUAGUAAUCGCGGAUCAGCACGCCGCGGUGAAU